UGGGGAAUAUUGGACAAUGGGGGCAACCCUGAUCCAGCAAUGCCGCGUGUGUGAAGAAGGUUUUCGGAUUGUAAAGCACUUUCGGCGGGGACGAUGAUGACGGUACCCGCAGAAGAAGCCCCGGCUAACUUCGUGCCAGCAGCCGCGGUAAUACGAAGGGGGCUAGCGUUGCUCGGAAUGACUGGGCGUAAAGGGCGUGUAGGCGGUUUGUACAGUCAGAUGUGAAAA
This 228-nucleotide ribosomal RNA is filed under the name uncultured bacterium. Its description in RNAcentral is "partial 16S ribosomal RNA". It matches the Rfam family "Bacterial small subunit ribosomal RNA", at positions 355 to 600 of the family's 1533-position model. The record is from RNAcentral.